Molecule: long non-coding RNA, 895 nt
Filed under: Olea europaea subsp. europaea
Lineage: Eukaryota; Viridiplantae; Streptophyta; Magnoliopsida; Lamiales; Oleaceae
Source: RNAcentral
AAAAUAUGUGGUUAAAAAUGAGCUGUAGAAAAAAGAGUAUUAAAAAACAAAUGUCAACUACACAGAAUCUUUGGAAGAGAUUGAUAGAUGUUAAAUUGGGAGGACCAAUAUUGGAAGUGGGGCUCAAGAGCAGAGUGGCUUAAAGAGGCUACAUGCAUCUUGUCGUUGACAGAAAAAUAAAAAUAAAUCGGGAACUUGAGUGGUCAAUGAGUUUGUUAAGGGAUAAAAUUCCACAUCCAACAAAAAUGAAAACAUUGACUAACUUAUAAAAGAUUGGAUUACUUCUCAUAAUAAGGUGACCUUUUAAAAUGAAACCACGAGUUUUAAUGGAGUUGAGAAGGAUGAGAUUGUCGUUAUCCCCACUGAUUUCCAACUCGAGCAGGGCGUAAGGGCCAUUACAAUGGGUCUGUCAGACAAGGAAAAAUUGCUCUGCGAACUUGGUGCUUAUCCCGAAGAAGAAACAUUCUACAGAAACUGCCCCAGUAGUCUAUGCACUGUUCUGUGUAAACUGGUUUCUAAAGUAAUUGUCAACCGAUUUAAUUCACUGGUUUCUGAAACAACUGAUAACAUUACAAGAAGCUAUAGCUCAAGUGGAGACACUGAUUCAAAGUGGCAACAUUAUUCUUCUGAAGCUACGAGCUCUCCUAUUAGCUGUUGCUUCGCAGGCAUCGCGCUGUCCACUCUUUCAAUCUGUUUAACAUUAGUACAUUAAAAUUGAUGUGAAAUUGACUUCUCAAGGACGAUCUAUAAUUUAAGAAUGAAUAUCCCAUGUAAUGCAACACUCUCUCAUGAUCUGAACAAAGGUUUAGAUAAGUGGGUUUUCAGAGACUUGUUGAAUGCCUAAUAAGUUUAAUAUUGAUUGAUCGAGCGACUUUCUACUCACAAUCAUGCAUUC